UAUGGCUCAGGAUGAACGCUAGCUACAGGCUUAACACAUGCAAGUCGAGGGGUAGCAGGGUAGCAAUACCGCUGACGACCGGCGCACGGGUGAGUAACACGUAUCCAACCUUCCCAUAACUCAGGGAUAGCCUUUCGAAAGAAAGAUUAAUACCUGAUAGUACUUUUUCAAGGCAUCUUGAGAAAGUUAAAGAUUUAUUGGUUAUGGAUGAGGAUGCGUUCCAUUAGAUAGUUGGUGAGGUAACGGCUCACCAAGUCUUCGAUGGAUAGGGGUUCUGAGAGGAAGGUCCCCCACAUUGGUACUGAGACACGGACCAAACUCCUACGGGAGGCAGCAGUGAGGAAUAUUGGUCAAUGGGCGAGAGCCUGAACCAGCCAAGUAGCGUGAAGGAUGAAGGUCCUAUGGAUUGUAAACUUCUUUUAUAGUAGAAUAAAGUGAUCCACGUGUGGAUUUUUGUAUGUAUACUAUGAAUAAGGAUCGGCUAACUCCGUGCCAGCAGCUGC
This 503-nucleotide ribosomal RNA is filed under the name uncultured bacterium. RNAcentral's name for it is "bacterial SSU rRNA". It matches the Rfam family "Bacterial small subunit ribosomal RNA", at positions 18 to 518 of the family's 1533-position model. The record is from RNAcentral.